Molecule: ribosomal RNA, 329 nt
Filed under: uncultured eukaryote
Lineage: Eukaryota
Description: partial 18S ribosomal RNA
Rfam family: Eukaryotic small subunit ribosomal RNA
Source: RNAcentral
CCCUUAGAUGUUCUGGGCUGCACGCGCGCUACACUGAUGCGUUCAACGAGUUUAUGACCUUGCCCGAUAGGGUUGGGUAAUCUUUUUAAAUCGCAUCGUGAUGGGGAUAGAUUAUUGCAAUUAUUAAUCUUCAACGAGGAAUUCCUAGUAAGCGCGAGUCAUCAGCUCGUGCUGAUUACGUCCCUGCCCUUUGUACACACCGCCCGUCGCUCCUACCGAUUGAAUGGUCCGGUGAAGCGUUCGGACCGUGGCCUUUGGACGGUUCGCCGUCUGUUGGCUGCGGGAAGUUCGUUAAACCUUAUCAUUUAGAGGAAGGAGAAGUCGUNACA